GAUGAACGCUGGCGGCGUGCCUAAUACAUGCAAGUCGAGCGAACGGAUUAAGAGCUUGCUCUUAUGAAGUUAGCGGCGGACGGGUGAGUAACACGUGGGUAACCUGCCCAUAAGACUGGGAUAACUCCGGGAAACCGGGGCUAAUACCGGAUAACAUUUUGAACCGCAUGGUUCGAAAUUGAAAGGCGGCUUCGGCUGUCACUUAUGGAUGGACCCGCGUCGCAUUAGCUAGUUGGUGAGGUAACGGCUCGCCAAGGCAACGAUGCGUAGCCGACCUGAGAGGGUGAUCGGCCACACUGGGACUGAGACACGGCCCAGACUCCUACGGGAGGCAGCAGUAGGGAAUCUUCCGCAAUGGACGAAAGUCUGACGGAGCAACGCCGCGUGAGUGAUGAAGGCUUUCGGGUCGUAAAACUCUGUUGUUAGGGAAGAACAAGUGCUAGUUGAAUAAGCUGGCACCUUGACGGUACCUAACCAGAAAGCCACGGCUAACUACGUGCCAGCAGCCGCGGUAA
Molecule: ribosomal RNA, 515 nt
Filed under: uncultured bacterium
Lineage: Bacteria
Description: partial 16S ribosomal RNA
Rfam family: Bacterial small subunit ribosomal RNA
Source: RNAcentral